CGAACGGGUGAGUAACGCGUGAGGAACCUGCCUCAAAGAGGGGGACAACAGUUGGAAACGACUGCUAAUACCGCAUAAGCCCACGGCUCGGCAUCGAGCAGAGGGAAAAGGAGCAAUCCGCUUUGAGAUGGCCUCGCGUCCGAUUAGCUAGUUGGUGAGGUAACGGCCCACCAAGGCGACGAUCGGUAGCCGGACUGGGAGGGUGACCGGCCACAUUGGGACUGAGACACGGCCCAA
This 237-nucleotide ribosomal RNA is filed under the name uncultured bacterium. RNAcentral's name for it is "partial 16S ribosomal RNA". It matches the Rfam family "Bacterial small subunit ribosomal RNA", at positions 99 to 334 of the family's 1533-position model. The record is from RNAcentral.